AGUGAACGCUGGCGGUAGGCCUAACACAUGCAAGUCGAACGGCAGCACAAUAAGAGCUUGCUCUUACGGGUGGCGAGUGGCGGACGGGUGAGGAAUACAGCGGAAUCUACUUUUUCGUGGGGGAUAACGUAGGGAAACUUACGCUAAUACCGUAUACGACCUACGGGUGAAAGCAGGGGAUCUUCGGACCUUGCGCGAUUGAAUGAGCCGAUGUCGGAUUAGCUAGUUGGCGGGGUAAAGGCCCACCAAGGCGACGAUCCGUAGCUGGUCUGAGAGGAUGAUCCGCCAACCUGGAACGGGGACACGGUCCAAACUCCUACGGGAGGCAGCAGUGGGGAAUAAUGGACAAUGGGCGCAAGCCUGAUCCAGCCAUACCGCGUGGGUGAAGAAGGCCUUCGGGUUGUAAAGCCCUUUUGUUGGGAAAGAAAAGCAGCAGGUUAAUACCCCGCUGUUCUGACGGUACCCAAAGAAUAAGCACCGGCUAACUUCGUG
This 492-nucleotide ribosomal RNA is filed under the name uncultured bacterium. Its description in RNAcentral is "partial 16S ribosomal RNA". It matches the Rfam family "Bacterial small subunit ribosomal RNA", at positions 29 to 507 of the family's 1533-position model. The record is from RNAcentral.